UACUUGAGAACCGCGAAGAAAGAAGAAGCUCUCUUUUGGCUGCAAACGCUGAAGCUCUCUCUAGUUUCUAUAUCUUCCAGGGUGUGAUUUAGGUGAAAUGGCGCACAGGUUGCUGAGGAAUGUGGAGGCAGAUGGUUGGGAAAGGUCAGACUUCCCCAUCAUCUGUGAGUCUUGCCUGGGUGACAAUCCUUAUGUUCGCAUGACAAAAGCGGAUUACGACAAGGAGUGCAAGACUUGUACUCGGCCGUUUACUGUUUUCCGGUGGAGGCCUGGCCGUGAUGCCCGGUUCAAGAAGACUGAGAUUUGCCAGACGUGCAGUAAGUUGAAGAAUGUGUGUCAAGUUUGCAUCUUGGACCUCGAAUAUGGCUUGCCGGUGCAGGUUCGAGACACUGCUAUGGCUAUCAACUCCACGGAUGUGAUCCCCAAGAGUGAUGUCAAUAGGGAGUUUUUUGCCGUAGGAGCACGACCGAAAGGCUAGAGCUGGUAUAGAUUAUGAAUCUUCCUACGGGAAAGCUCGGCCCAGUGACACUAUUCUGAAGCUUCAAAGAACAGCACCCUAUUACAAAAGGAACAGAGCACAUGUCUGCAGUUUCUACAUUCGGGGUGAGUGCACAAGAGGCGCCGAGUGCCCUUACAGGCACGAAAUGCCCAUAACUGGGGAGUUGGCACAACAAAACAUUAAAGAUCGUUACUAUGGAGUCAAUGAUCCAGUCGCGAUGAAGCUACUGAACAAGGCUGGAGAGAUGCCUUCCCUAGAACCUCCCGAGGAUGAAAGCAUCAGAACCCUAUACGUGGGUGGGCUUGAUGAGAGAAUUACAGAGCAGGAUCUCAGGGAUAACUUUUAUGCUCAUGGUGAAAUAGAAUCUGUUAGGAUGGUACUCCAACGAGCUUGUGCUUUCGUAACCUACACAACAAGAGAGGGUGCAGAAAAGGCUGCAGAAGAACUCUCCAAUAAACUGGUAAUAAAGGGUUUGAGAUUGAAGUUAAUGUGGGGUAGGCCACAAGCACCAAAACAGGACUCAGACGGCACAGAUGAAGCUAGGCAGCAGGCAGUGGCUCAUAGUGGAUUGUUGCCUCGAGCAGUGAUAUCACAACAGCAGAACCAAAUACAAGACCAAUCUGCACCAGUCCAGCACUACUACAACAUGCCACCUCCACCAUCUUCACAUGAGAGGACAUUUUAUCCAUCAAUGGAUCCUCAAAGAAUGGGUGCUGUUGUUCGAUCACAAGAUGGAGCUCUAAAUGGGCCCACAGGGUCCGGUGAGAACAAAUCUGGUUCAGAGAGGCAACAUUAUGCUUUUCAAACCAUGGCACAACCACAGGGCCAUUAUUAUCAGCAGCAGUUUUAUCCUCCCCCUUAUGCAGGUUAUAUGCCUCCACCGCCAGCAGCUUACCAACAACAAUACCGUCCGCAAUAUCAUGCUGCAGUGCCUCCACAACAAUCAUUGCCAAUGAACACACAAUACCAGCAGCAUUCUGCGACACCCCCAGCUUCUACGUCAUCGGCACCAGCAGUUUCAAGUUCUGGACCUUCAGAGUCCGCACCAUCUGAAUCUGGAACAGCACCAACUGCAUCAUCACAGCAGUGACACCAACAGUCGUUGUAUUCGUGGAUGUAAUGGCAUCUAUGUUGGGGCAUUCCCUUUUUUCCACCUUUUUUUCCAAUUAAGGAUCAAUCCGUGUGUACCAGUCCCUUCAUUGUUGUCAAAAUAUUGUCCCUUCUUAUGAAUUCAAUGUGUACAUGUACAUCUAUGUUUCUUAUAUCAUAUUUCUGAAAGAGUUUUUG
RNA transcript from Fragaria vesca subsp. vesca, 1786 nucleotides. It is a transcript of the gene named zinc finger CCCH domain-containing protein 40-like, with no coding region annotated. The transcript has 4 exons. Lineage: Eukaryota; Viridiplantae; Streptophyta; Magnoliopsida; Rosales; Rosaceae. The record is from RefSeq and is a predicted model, not a curated record.